AACGAACGCUGGCGGCAUGCCUAACACAUGCAAGUCGAACGAAGCCUUCGGGCUUAGUGGCGCACGGGUGCGUAACGCGUGGGAAUCUGCCCCUUGCUUCGGAAUAACAGUUAGAAAUGACUGCUAAUACCGGAUGAAGUCUUCGGACCAAAGAUUUAUCGGCAAGGGAUGAGCCCGCGUAGGAUUAGGUAGUUGGUGGGGUAAAGGCCUACCAAGCCGACGAUCCUUAGCUGGUCUGAGAGGAUGAUCAGCCACACUGGGACUGAGACACGGCCCAGACUCCUACGGGAGGCAGCAGUGGGGAAUAUUGGACAAUGGACGCAAGUCUGAUCCAGCAAUGCCGCGUGAGUGAUGAAGGCCUUAGGGUUGUAAAGCUCUUUUACCAGGGAUGAUAAUGACAGUACCUGGAGAAUAAGCUCCGGCUAACUACGUG
Molecule: ribosomal RNA, 433 nt
Filed under: uncultured bacterium
Lineage: Bacteria
Description: partial 16S ribosomal RNA
Rfam family: Bacterial small subunit ribosomal RNA
Source: RNAcentral